RNAcentral lists this ribosomal RNA (292 nucleotides) under uncultured bacterium. RNAcentral's name for it is "partial 16S ribosomal RNA". It matches the Rfam family "Bacterial small subunit ribosomal RNA", at positions 505 to 796 of the family's 1533-position model. The record is from RNAcentral.
GUGCCAGCAGCCGCGGUAAGACGAACCUUGCUAACGUUAUUCGGAAUUACUGGGCUUAAAGGGUGCGUAGGCGGUGCAGAAAGUCGGGUGUGAAAUCCCCCAGCUCAACUGAGGAAUUGCGCCCGAAACUACUGUGCUUGAGGAAGAUAGAGGUACGCGGAACUUAGGGUGGAGCGGUGAAAUGCGUUGAUAUCCUAAGGAACACCGGUGGCGAAAGCGGCGUACUGGGUCUUAUCUGACGCUGAGGCACGAAAGCUAGGGUAGCGAACGGGAUUAGAUACCCUAGUAGUCC